RNAcentral lists this transfer RNA (74 nucleotides) under Podarcis lilfordi (Lilford's wall lizard). RNAcentral describes it as "tRNA.Lys". It matches the Rfam family "tRNA". From Rfam's summary of the family: Transfer RNA (tRNA) molecules are approximately 80 nucleotides in length. Their secondary structure includes four short double-helical elements and three loops (D, anti-codon, and T loops). Further hydrogen bonds mediate the characteristic L-shaped molecular structure. tRNAs have two regions of fundamental functional importance: the anti-codon, which is responsible for specific mRNA codon recognition, and the 3' end, to which the tRNAs corresponding amino acid is attached (by aminoacyl-tRNA synthetases). tRNAs cope with the degeneracy of the genetic code in two manners: having more than one tRNA (with a specific anti-codon) for a particular amino acid; and 'wobble' base-pairing, i.e. permitting non-standard base-pairing at the 3rd anti-codon position. Lineage: Eukaryota; Metazoa; Chordata; Lepidosauria; Squamata; Lacertidae. The record is from RNAcentral.
GCCCAGUUUAGCUCAGCUGGUAGAGCAGGAGACUCUUAAUCUCAGGGUCAUGGGUUUGAGCCCCACAUCGGGCA